UUGAUUCUGGCUCAGGAUGAACGCUAGCUACAGGCUUAACACAUGCAAGUCGAGGGGCAGCAUGGUCUUAGCUUGCUAAGGCCGAUGGCGACCGGCGCACGGGUGAGUAACACGUAUCCAACCUGCCGUCUACUCUUGGGCAGCCUUCUGAAAGGAAGAUUAAUACAAGAUGGCAUCAUGAGUCCACAUGUUCACAUGAUUAAAGGUAUUCCGGUAGACGAUGGGGAUGCGUUCCAUUAGAUAGUAGGCGGGGUAACGGCCCACCUAGUCUUCGAUGGAUAGGGGUUCUGAGAGGAAGGUCCCCCACAUUGGAACUGAGACACGGUCCAAACUCCUACGGGAGGCAGCAGUGAGGAAUAUUGGUCAAUGGGCGAGAGCCUGAACCAGCCAAGUAGCGUGAAGGAUGACUGCCCUAUGGGUUGUAAACUUCUUUUAUAAAGGAAUAAAGUCGGGUAUGCAUACCCGUUUGCAUGUACUUUAUGAAUAAGGAUCGGCUAACUCCGUGCCAGCAGCCGCGGUAAUACGGAGGAUCCGAGCGUUAUCCGGAUUUAUUGGGUUUAAAGGGAGCGUAGAUGGAUGUUUAAGUCAGUUGUGAAAGUUUGCGGCUCAACCGUAAAAUUGCAGUUGAUACUGGAUAUCUUGAGUGCAGUUGAGGCAGGCGGAAUUCGUGGUGUAGCGGUGAAAUGCUUAGAUAUCACGAAGAACUCCGAUUGCGAAGGCAGCCUGCUAAGCUGCAACUGACAUUGAGGCUCGAAAGUGUGGGUAUCAAACAGGAUUAGAUACCCUGGUAGUCCACACGGUAAACGAUGAAUACUCGCUGUUUGCGAUAUACAGCAAGCGGCCAAGCGAAAGCGUUAAGUAUUCCACCUGGGGAGUACGCCGGCAACG
This 888-nucleotide ribosomal RNA is filed under the name uncultured Bacteroidota bacterium. RNAcentral describes it as "bacterial SSU rRNA". It matches the Rfam family "Bacterial small subunit ribosomal RNA", at positions 13 to 893 of the family's 1533-position model. The record is from RNAcentral. Lineage: Bacteria; Pseudomonadati; Bacteroidota.